AUACGGAGGUUGCAAGCGUUACUCGGAAUCACUGGGCGUAAAGCGCGCGCAGGCGGCUUGAUAAGUUGGAUGUGAAAGCCUACGGCUCAACCGUAGAACUGCAUCCAAAACUGUCAAGCUAGAGUCUGGGAGGGGAAGAUGGAAUUAUUUGUGUAGGGGUAAAAUCCGUAGAGAUAACUAGGAAUACCAAAAGCGAAGGCGAUCUUCUGGAACAGUACUGACGCUGAGGCGCGAAAGCGUGGGGAGCAAACAGGAUUAGAUACCCUAGUAGUCC
Molecule: ribosomal RNA, 274 nt
Filed under: uncultured bacterium
Lineage: Bacteria
Description: partial 16S ribosomal RNA
Rfam family: Bacterial small subunit ribosomal RNA
Source: RNAcentral